RNAcentral lists this ribosomal RNA (275 nucleotides) under uncultured bacterium. RNAcentral's name for it is "partial 16S ribosomal RNA". It matches the Rfam family "Bacterial small subunit ribosomal RNA", at positions 399 to 691 of the family's 1533-position model. The record is from RNAcentral.
GCGUGAAUGAUGAAGGCCUUCGGGUUGUAAAGUUCUUUUGGUGGGGACGAUAAUGACGGUACCCACAGAAUAAGCUCCGGCUAACUUCGUGCCAGCAGCCGCGGUAAUACGAAGGGAGCUAGCGUUGUUCGGAAUUACUGGGCGUAAAGGGCGCGUAGGCGGUAGGACAAGUCAGGUGUGAAAGCCCUGGGCUCAACCCAGGAACUGCGCUUGAUACUGUCCUGCUUGAAUUCGGUAGAGGUGAGUGGAAUUCCCAGUGUAGAGGUGAAAUUCGU